UACAGAGGGUGCAAGCGUUGUUCGGAAUUAUUGGGCGUAAAGCGCGUGUAGGCGGCUUUGCAAGUCGGGUGUGAAAGCCCUCAGCUUAACUGAGGAAGUGCGCCCGAAACUGCAGAGCUUGAGUACCGGAGAGGGUGGCGGAAUUCCCCAAGUAGAGGUGAAAUUCGUAGAUAUGGGGAGGAGCACCGGUGGCGAAGGCGGCCACCUGGACGGAUACUGACGCUGAGACGCGAAAGCGUGGGUAGCAAACAGG
This 253-nucleotide ribosomal RNA is filed under the name uncultured bacterium. RNAcentral describes it as "partial 16S ribosomal RNA". It matches the Rfam family "Bacterial small subunit ribosomal RNA", at positions 524 to 776 of the family's 1533-position model. The record is from RNAcentral.